RNAcentral lists this transfer RNA (86 nucleotides) under Sphingobacterium humi. Its description in RNAcentral is "tRNA-OTHER". Lineage: Bacteria; Pseudomonadati; Bacteroidota; Sphingobacteriia; Sphingobacteriales; Sphingobacteriaceae. The record is from RNAcentral.
CCGCCUUGAAGGCUUCUGUGCCAGCGGUAAACGCCUUACAAGAAAAGGUUGUUCGUGGCUUGGUUCGAAACCAGCAAGGCGAACCA